Molecule: ribosomal RNA, 157 nt
Filed under: Betta midas
Lineage: Eukaryota; Metazoa; Chordata; Actinopteri; Anabantiformes; Osphronemidae
Description: partial 12S ribosomal RNA
Source: RNAcentral
ACACACCGCCCGUCACUCUCCCCAAGUCUAAAAAAAAUUUUACAUUUAAUAAUAGGUACUACCAGCAAAGGGGAGGCAAGUCGUAACAUGGUAAGUGUACCGGAAGGUGUACUUGGAUAAAUCAAAAUGUGGCUAAAUAGAAAAGCAUCUCUCUUAC